This 436-nucleotide ribosomal RNA is filed under the name Alebrini sp. 2 LL-2020. RNAcentral describes it as "partial large subunit ribosomal RNA". Lineage: Eukaryota; Metazoa; Arthropoda; Insecta; Hemiptera; Cicadellidae. The record is from RNAcentral.
AGGUUCUGCCCUAUGAAUUUAUUAAAUGGCUGCAGUAUAUUGACUGUACAAAGGUAGCAUAAUAAUUAGUCUUUUAAUUAAAGACUGGUAUGAAGGAAUUAAUGAGAAAUUUAUUUUCUUAAUUAUUUAAAAUUAAUUUUAGUUUUAGGUAAAAAAGCCUAUUUAUAUAUUUGGGACGAAAAGACCCUAUAGAACUUUAUUUAAUUAUUUAUAAAUAUAUUUAUAAAUUUAUUUUUGGUUGGGGUGACAAGUAAAUUCGACUUUACUUUAUUAUUUCAUGUAUAUAUGAUUAUAUUGAUUUAAUUAUAAAUUUAAGUUAUAGUUACCUUAGGGAUAACAGCGUAAUUUUAAUGAAGAGUUCAUAUCUAUAUUAAAGUUUGCGACCUCGAUGUUGAAUUAAGAUAAGUUUAUGGAGCAUAAUUUAUAAAACUAGGUC